GCUUACGGCCAUACCACCUGAACACGCCCGAUCUCGGAAGCUAAGCAGGGUAGGGCCUGGUUAGUACUUGGAUGGGGACCGCCUGGGAAUACCAGGUGCUGUAAGCU
This 107-nucleotide ribosomal RNA is filed under the name Labrus bergylta (ballan wrasse). The record is from RNAcentral. Lineage: Eukaryota; Metazoa; Chordata; Actinopteri; Labriformes; Labridae.